RNAcentral lists this ribosomal RNA (371 nucleotides) under uncultured organism. RNAcentral describes it as "partial 16S ribosomal RNA". It matches the Rfam family "Bacterial small subunit ribosomal RNA", at positions 527 to 896 of the family's 1533-position model. The record is from RNAcentral.
GAAGGGGGCUAGCGUUGCUCGGAAUCACUGGGCGUAAAGGGCGCGUAGGCGGCCGAUUAAGUCGGGGGUGAAAGCCUGUGGCUCAACCACAGAAUUGCCUUCGAUACUGGUUGGCUUGAGACCGGAAGAGGACAGCGGAACUGCGAGUGUAGAGGUGAAAUUCGUAGAUAUUCGCAAGAACACCAGUGGCGAAGGCGGCUGUCUGGUCCGGUUCUGACGCUGAGGCGCGAAAGCGUGGGGAGCAAACAGGGAUUAGAUACCCUGGUAGUCCACGCCGUAAACGAUGAAUGCCAGCCCGUUGGCCUGCUUGCAGGUCAGUGGCGCCGCUAACGCAUUAAGCAUUCCGCCCUGGGAGUACGGUCGCAAGAUUA